AAAAGAAAGUCAUCCUGGCCAACGCCUACACCCGGGGACAGGUCAACGCCUUUGUCCAGGCCGAGGCGUCGCAUCACUUCCAUCGCAUCGUCAAGUGGGUGAAGACCG
This 108-nucleotide unclassified non-coding RNA is filed under the name fungal sp. RNAcentral's name for it is "partial internal transcribed spacer region". The record is from RNAcentral. Lineage: Eukaryota; Fungi.